ACUCCUACGGGAGGCAGCAGUGGGGAAUAUUGGACAAUGGGCGAAAGCCUGAUCCAGCCAUGCCGCGUGUGUGAAGAAGGCUUUCGGGUUGUAAAGCACUUUCAGUGGGGAAGAAAUCCUCGGGGCCAAUACCCUCGAGGGAGGACAUCACCCACAGAAGAAGCACCGGCUAACUCCGUGCCAGCAGCCGCGGUAAU
RNAcentral lists this ribosomal RNA (197 nucleotides) under uncultured bacterium. RNAcentral's name for it is "partial 16S ribosomal RNA". It matches the Rfam family "Bacterial small subunit ribosomal RNA", at positions 335 to 524 of the family's 1533-position model. The record is from RNAcentral.